CAGUAGCCGCGGGAAUACGUAGGUGGCAAGCGUUGUCCGGAUUUAUUGGGCGUAAAGCGAGCGCAGGCGGUCAAUUAAGUCUGAUGUGAAAGCCCCCGGCUCAACCGGGGAGGGUCAUUGGAAACUGGUUGACUUGAGUGCAGAAGAGGAGAGUGGAAUUCCACGUGUAGCGGUGAAAUGCGUAGAGAUGAGGAGGAACACCAGUGGCGAAAGCAGCUUUCUGGGUCGAUACUGACGCUCAUGUGCGAAAGCGUGGGGAGCAAACAGGAUUAGAGACCCCCGUAGUCCCUGUCUCUUAUAC
Molecule: ribosomal RNA, 301 nt
Filed under: uncultured bacterium
Lineage: Bacteria
Description: partial 16S ribosomal RNA
Rfam family: Bacterial small subunit ribosomal RNA
Source: RNAcentral